UACGGAGGGUGCAAGCGUUGCUCGGAAUCACUGGGCGUAAAGCGACCGCAGGCGGCCUGACAAGUCGGAUGUGAAAGCCCUGGGCUCAACUCAGGAACAGCAUUCGAAACUGGCAGGCUUGAGUACGGGAGAGGGGGGUGGAAUUCCUGGUGUAGGGGUGAAAUUCGUUGAUAUCAGGUGGAACACCGGCGGCGAAGGCGGCCCCCUGGCCCGCAACUGACGCUGAUGCGCGAAAGCUAGGGGAGCAAACAGG
Molecule: ribosomal RNA, 253 nt
Filed under: uncultured bacterium
Lineage: Bacteria
Description: partial 16S ribosomal RNA
Rfam family: Bacterial small subunit ribosomal RNA
Source: RNAcentral